This 5684-nucleotide long non-coding RNA is filed under the name Panax ginseng (ginseng). RNAcentral's name for it is "long non-coding RNA (PGIN_LNC005043)". The record is from RNAcentral. Lineage: Eukaryota; Viridiplantae; Streptophyta; Magnoliopsida; Apiales; Araliaceae.
CUUCAUAUAUAAAUAGAUAAUGCUCAAGUCACGAUAAAUACAAAAUUUGUUAUUGUAUCUUGAUCUCCCAAGAAUCAUAGUACUUACAAUAUUUAAUAACUAACAUAAGAAAAUUGAAAAAAUAACAGCGAACUAGAAGGAAUGAAGUGUACAUCAUGUUAGGUCCACUUCAUCAUCAUUUUCUUCAAGGAAAUCAAGGUUGGGCCUGUAAAGUUCCACCUGCAAAAGAAACAACAAAAUUCAAUUUUAACAAGAUGAGGAAUAAGAAAAAAUAAACCUGGUGAACUUAAAUUAACAGGGAGAGGGAGAUUAAUGAAGGACAAAGACAAAAAUAUAAUUAUUAGUAAAUACCUCAAGUGAAUCAUAGUUGGUAAAUGUUUGAAGGAAGUUGGUAAACUUCCGCUCUACCAAUUUAGUUAUAUGUUCAGUAAUAUCUAUACCAAUGGACAGUUGUGGUGUACUAUCAUUGGUAGAAUCAUCAUCCAUAGACUUUAUACCCAAUCGACGGAGGACAAUCUUGUCAAUCAUAUUCUCCAAUUCCUUAGUAUCAGUAGAUUGUUGCGAUGAAGAAUAACCUAUACUCGGCGGCACUAUAGGAGGAGUACCGAGCACGUCUUGUGCACGAUAUCUAGGAAAACCAGGUAUCCUAUUUUUUUUAAUCCCACCAAUUUUCUCAAUCCAAAUAGCCAAGUCAUCUACCUCUGGUGUACCGUCCUCUGCAGGACCGCUAACCUCAGUACUAUAUUCUAUAUAAAAUCCAAAACAUGUACAAGAGUUAAAUACGUACAUUAAAUACAUUUGCAAAUCAUAAAAAUGCACAUCAAUUAACAAUUGAAAUUGUAAAUAUUGGUUGGCUAAAUUAAAAAUCAGGCAGACAUCUGAUGAUAUAAAACUCAUGGAUAUACAAAAGGAAAUAGGUGGUGAGAAAGUCAAGCAGACAUUCUUCAUAUUUGCUUUCAAUUAGUUAAAUUACAAUUACAAAAUCUUAAUUAUUUGUAAAGCAUCACAAUGUUAACAUGUGGGACGAAUAUGUAUGAACAUGCUUAUUUAGCACUUCAGCUCACAAUGUUAAUAGAGUCUUCUGAUAUUAAAACUAUGCUAAUAAUAAUAAUAAUAAUCAAACCCGAACCUGAACUAAAAGAUUUAUAUCAACAAUUAAUAUCAAAUAAAAUAUCAUAAGCUAAUAAAAAAGGACUUACUACAAUCUCCUUAGCACGGGAGUUUAUAUAAACUCCAUUACCCUGUUUCUUUCUUGUGGGUCCUAUCCCAUACCUCUACCAAAGUUGGAGCCCUUUUCUUAGCUAUCGUCAAAUCCAUCAUAUGCUUGGAAAAUAGUGCAGAACCACCAGUGUGAUCUACUGUCAAUUUUGCUCGAUUCUUUUUAGACGCUGCACUCCUUAAUUUCCAAGUUUGCUCCUUCCACACAUCAAUCAUCUUUGUCACACUUGUUGCGAAAGUCAACUGGGAUUAUAUGGUUUCAAGGCGUCACACAUCUCAUUUGUACGAGCCUUCUUAUGAGCUCCGCGCCUUGCAACGCUUAACCAUUUUGAAUAAAGUUUUUUAUAAUGGUUACGAAAGACCUCCUUCACUUUCUCAUUUUCCCCUUCACGAAACCAAAAGCAAGCCUGGGCAAGUAUUGAAGAAAAGAAAUAAAACAAUAAAUAUUUAGAGAAGAAACAACAGCUGGGUAAUGAUGAAACAUCAUAACUCAUCAUAUAUUUUACUACAAAAUUUGCAACUCCUCCUACCAUAGAGUUACAAGACAUCAUAAAUCUUUCCGUAGCUCCAUGUAAUAAUGAUAAUGAUGAUAAAUGAAUCAAAAUAUUCAGAGGAAAUUACAUAACAUGCAUAGGCUAACUUUGAUUUGAGAGACAUUUGGUAGAAUUUCAAUUGUUUAUGUUAAACCAUAAGUUCCCAUGAUUAUUACGGUCAAACCAUCCCCAAGUCCAUAGUUAUUUGGCCAACUCAAUAUUAAAUCAAGAAAACUACAAAAAAGAUGACUUGAGCCAACUGCAACAAGAUAAUACAAAAGAAUGUAGAUUCAGUAAACCCGCCUUCAUAAAUGAUGCUAAAUGGAGAAAAUGCUCAUUGUUAAUCAAAAUAAAAGUUCCAUAAUCAAAAAAGAUACAACAAACAGGUGAACAAAUACUGUGGAGAGCUAAAACAAAGAAUUUUAUUACACAUUGCUCAAGUAACACAAACGCGAGAGAUUCAUAAUGAGCCAAAGAAAAAUCAAUACAAUGACCUUAGUCACCAAAAGAGGUAGCAAGCAAGUUGGGCAUCUAACUGAUAUCUAAAAGGAUAGAGCAUUAACCAAUACAGUCGAGACACAUGUAUAAUUAUCAUCGACUCACUCUCGAUAUCUAUUUUAGCUCAAGUAUUUUUAAUCCCACUCUUAGUAUCUCAACUUCAUCUUUAUUUUUUAUUAAUCCCUAGAAAGAUGUCAAAACUUGUAGUACUAUUACAUCUAUAGUUGGAAAUGUGACACUUAUAGCGUAAUUCAGAGGAGGCCUGAAAAUGACUCACUGUUUUAUUGAGACCAAAAAAAUAACAAAUUAUUAUAUAACUUAGCUGGAGACAAGAACAUGCUUCAAGCCACAUAUAUAUAGUAUAGCUAUAAUAUAUAAAACAUACUUACAGAUAUAACAUAGCUUAUAUAUCUGGUAUGUAUUACUUGAUAUACAAAACAUAAUGUACAUUCAUAUCAUACAUAAUACAUUAUUCUAAUAAUAUAUUAACAUUACAACUAAUAACAGGAUCGAAACCAGAUGCCCAAUAACUAAAUUUCAUAUUAGGCUAGCACAUAAUAUAUAACACCAAUAUUAAUACAAGUCUAAAAGGGUGAAAUUUUGUAAUAGCACUACAUUCUCAUAUCGUUUCUUACACAAACAAAUACACACAUACAUACAUGUGUCUGUAUAUAUGAAUCAUUACAACAACUAAUGGAAUACGGAUGAACAAAGUUGCUGGAAAAAAUACCUUCGAACAAAUUGACGGGUCUUUGGGUCUUCGAAGUUAGGGCUUCUGCAAUUGGGACAGAAGGUACGAAUUUGAAGAUGCAAAGAUGAAGUUUGGGGUAAAAUUUUGGGAUUAAUGAUAAUCCCUUUACUCAUACGAAAUAUUAUUCACACAAUCAAAUCUUGAUCUCGCUAAUUGCGGCAAAAUGGGGCGCUAAUUUUUUAUUUCUCCCGCCUAAACUAUGGCUAAGGAAAAGAGGGGAAACCAAAUUGGUAGAGACCUAGCUAGCAUCUAUCUUGUUGAAACUUCAAUUUUGGCUAAGGAUUGAGCGAAACCCUUGAUCUAGCUAGCUUGCUUCCCCAUCUCGCUUGCUUGAGUUGCUUCCCUUUCUCAGGGGUCACGCACACACUGUACUGAACUUCAAAUAAAGUUAAGUUUUUUUUGAUUUUUUCUUAUGGUUUGAACUAAUUAAAAAUAAAAUUAAAUAAUCCAAAAGUCUUUCUUAAAGCUCUCCCAAAUUGUUAAUAACAAAAAAUAAAGUUACUUUAAAUUAAUCUCUAAAAGAAUUUUUUGGUUAAUAUUAUAUACUUAAAAUAAAAUUUAAAGUCUUUUGGAUUAUUUAAUUUUAUUUUUAUUUAACUUUAACUUUAUUUAUGAUCAUAAAAAUAAACUUUUACGGAGAAAUUUUAAAGUUUAACAUAGUGUAAAGUUAUUUACUUUAUAGUUUAUUAAAAUAAAUAGUUGAUAUUGUAAGUUACUAAAAAAGUGUUAUUAAAAUUAAAUUUAUUAUUGUAAAAAAUUUAAGGUAUUUAUGAAUACCACAAUUAAUUCAAAAAAAGUUAUUUAAAACAAAAUAGCGACUAAUUUUAUCUCUCACAAAAAAUCUCUGAACAAUAAUAUAUAGUGAGUAAUAAUUCUUUUAUUAAUAGUUUUUUUUUCUCGCAAAUUUUCAUCAUAAAUUGGCUCCAAAAAUCUUUCUAUCACCCCAAUUUUGCAAAGAAAAAAAAUAUAAAUUGUGAAUGAUGUUUCUUUCACUAAUAACUAUAUUGUCACUAUACUUAUUUCCUUCGAUGUUCCUUCGCUAUAAAACUCCUCAUGUGAAGGAAAAAAUUCCUUCACAAAACUUCUUUCACUACACCCCUAAUUUCUUGUAGUGUUUGUAGUAGUUAUUUGUUUGUAAUAAUAAUAGCUAAGAGAACGAGAGAUUUUCAUGGUGCAAAAUUAUUAUGUCUAAAAUGUAUAUAUAUAAGACUUCUCUCAAUAUACAUAUAUGUAGUAUAUCUAUCUCUACACAUAUAGAUACAUACAUAUAUUUAUAAUAGUUUCACCAUUAAACUAUUAUUUAUUUCUAUUUUAAUUAUACUUAUUACUACUAAUGAUGUAAAUUACAUAUUAGUAAUAAACUUAUAAUUAAAUAGAAUGUCAAAAGUCUCACAAGAAUAUCUCUUGUUCCAAAAUAAAAUAAGACUAUACACUUAUACUUAUAAAGUGACAAGUAGUCUUUUUUAUUAAAUGAGAUAAGAAAUAAUAGUUUUAUCAAACAACUUUGCACCUUAUUAAAUUUAUCACUAUAGGCACAAAUCAAAUGAAGUUCUCUCUUAUUUUUCACAAUUAGGGAAACAAAUUACACCUUUAUAUUUACUUAAAUUAUGUCCACUAAUGGGUUUUAUUCAAGUCCAAACUUGACAAAAAUUAAAUCUCCAAAAUAUAAAAUAAGGUGCAAUUUUUAACAGUCAUAAAUACCUCUUUUUGUAAAAGUCUCUUGUCCGUCGGCAGUAUUAAACUGCGGACGCUAAGUCUUGUCAAUUGAAAAACGACGUCGUUUCUAAAUAAGGGUCGUCCGCAGUAUGGCUAAUCAAUUGGAAAACGACGUCGUAUUGGCCAAAUUCAAAUUUUUAUUUAAUUUGUUAGGCUCCGCACUAUUAAACUGCAAAUGCCAAAUAAUAGAGAUAACUUCCUUAAAAUUAAAUUUUUUAAUAAAUUGAUGCAAGUGUUCUUGAAAGUUAUUACAAUACAGAAUUUAUAAUAUGAUAAUUAAUCAUUAUUCCAUCAUGCAUAUCUAUGUUGAACUCUGAUUCAAACUUAUUCAUAUACACUGCACCUGAGAUACUUAAGUAACUGGCUAAUACUAAUUUAAAGGAACUAAAUAGAAUAUUAUAAUCCUUAAAAGACUCCCCUGUUUAUUUUAUGCACGCACAAGACUAAUUAAUGUUAAAGCAUAUAAAUGAGCUCCUGCCCUAGGAAUAUCUCUUUUUGUAAAUGUAAAGGAUUUAAUUAAGAAGGAAAAGCAAACAGAAAAGAAGUUUGAACAACAUAGGCGAAAUUAACUUUAACAUCAAAUUUACAGGGAUAUAGAGAAUGCGAUGAAUUUAUAUAAACAUUAAUUUAUACUUAUACUCAAAUUUAUAUAUUGGUUAGCCCAUCUACCCAUCGUUUAUGAACGCCGACAUAUAAGAACACGUCCAUACCAGCCCAAAUAAGCAGAAUUGAAAAUUAAUCUAAGUACGAAUACCUUUUCAUGAAGGAGAAGAAAAAGCAGACUACACGUAUACUCGGGUAAUCGGAGGAGCGAUUUAAACAGAGAAAUCACGAUCGAAGAUUUCAUGAACAAAGUGCGUAUCGGCAUUUGGCAUAAUGAUGUUGUUUUAGAGGGUGAAAUCAUGAGAUUUCAUAUACUCAUUUUGACAGAGGAGCAGCUGCUGCUGGUUUUUUGUGAGCGGCUGUGA